Alligator sinensis (Chinese alligator) is the source of this 481-nucleotide long non-coding RNA. RefSeq lists it as uncharacterized. Lineage: Eukaryota; Metazoa; Chordata; Crocodylia; Alligatoridae. The record is from RefSeq and is a predicted model, not a curated record. The transcript has 3 exons.
UACAUCAUUAGAGACUACAACUGAAACACAUAUAGAGGAGUUGAUAAACAUCAUGAAGAAAGAUGGCAGAAAGAAGAUGAAUAACAAAAUAGCCAGACAAUAAUUUCAACUAGAGAUAUUUUCUUUGAUAAUGAGAGAAGCGAUUGUGCAGGAGGAGACUGAGCUGGGCUUAACUGCUGGUACUGACACAAAGCUAACUUCUGAGCAAGGCUCAUCUGGAACAGCAGUGGCACGCAGAACUGUCGACACGAUGGCAGACCUCUGAACUGUCUACACUUUGGUACUGAUGGCAGUGCCAGAGUGGACCUCACAGUACUGGAUCAUGUUCAAGUGGAUCAUGUUCGGCAGGUACAAACAUCAGUAAAAGUAGACCAAUGAAGGAGAGCCACUCCCCAACUUUGACUAAAACGUAUUUAAAUGACAUGGGACAACCUGUCUUUAUGUUAAUCAAUGCAGUGUGAACAGAAUAUUUGAAAUAAAC